RNAcentral lists this ribosomal RNA (243 nucleotides) under uncultured bacterium. RNAcentral describes it as "partial 16S ribosomal RNA". It matches the Rfam family "Bacterial small subunit ribosomal RNA", at positions 529 to 771 of the family's 1533-position model. The record is from RNAcentral.
AGGUGGCAAGCGUUAUCCGGAUUUAUUGGGCGUAAAGAGAACGCAGGCGGAUAUUUAAGUCUGAUGUGAAAGCCCUCGGCUUAACCGGAGAAGUGCAUUGGAAACUGUGAGACUUGAGUGCAGAAGAGGAGAGUGGAACUCCAUGUGUAGCGGUGAAAUGCGUAGAUAUAUGGAAGAACACCAGUGGCGAAGGCGGCUCUCUGGUCUGUAACUGACGCUGAGGUUCGAAAGCGUGGGUAGCAA